RNAcentral lists this transfer RNA (56 nucleotides) under Egernia depressa. Its description in RNAcentral is "partial tRNA-Leu". Lineage: Eukaryota; Metazoa; Chordata; Lepidosauria; Squamata; Scincidae. The record is from RNAcentral.
CUUUUAAAGGAUCCGAGUCUAAUCCGUUGGUCUUAGGAGCCAGAGUUCUUGGUGCA